This 817-nucleotide long non-coding RNA is filed under the name Bemisia tabaci. RNAcentral describes it as "lncRNA ENSSSA1UGG007722". Lineage: Eukaryota; Metazoa; Arthropoda; Insecta; Hemiptera; Aleyrodidae. The record is from RNAcentral.
GAGGUAUCGCAUUCCGCGACCACGUCCACGCGGGCAGCGCCGUCAAAGGUCAGUGGAUGACGGGUGCACCCGGCGGCGGCGCACGCGCCACGAGCGGCGUCGCGACGCCGACCUCCUCGACACAGCACACACCGAGGCGACGUCCGACGCGCGGGACAUCCCCUUUGGCCGGCUUGGUUGACUUCGCGAGUGACUCGCUCCGAGGAUGUGACUCGGAACACUUGUUGGAACUGUGCGAGGGUAUGAGAGUCGCGUCAGUGCUCCGUUUCCACUAAUCCUCGAGCCAGGGGCAUGAAAAAUGCGAUCCAGAAUCCAGCAGUGCGUCCUCCUCUUCGUUUCCGUUCACAUGGUCACCGGCCCAGCUUACUCAGCGCCGGCGGACUCGAACGAGAGCAGAACAGAAAACAUUCGAGAAAGUUCAAAUUUAAGAAAAACUGAACCCAGCCAAGAUAAAAGUUCGUGUCGAGUUGAAGGACACUGGUACCGCCACGGUCAGCAGAUCGUGAGGAAAGAUCCGUGUGACUUCUGCCUGUGUAUUGAUAGAGAAAUGUUUUGCUACUGGCAACCGGAGCUGUGUCUAUCACCGCCCCCUUUGACUAACGAGACCUCGGUUCGUCCAACUCAAGCACAAAACACCUCCAAAGCAAUAACACUGACGCCGCUGAGCGAGGAGAGCGGAACCGACGUGACGAGGGAGUCGUCCACGAUGAUAUCGGCCACGUUCAGCUCGGAGGAGAACCAAACGACAGAGCUGCCUCCGUCCACAGCUCAGAUUUCCACCGCUCAGCCGACAUCUUGUAUUGUUCUAGGUAAUUAA